GCCAAACAGCUAGCUCAACACUAAUAUAACCCAACAUUAUUAAUAACAAGACAAGACUUUAACACCAUAAACUAAACCAUUUUUUUACCUGAGUAUGGGAGACAGAAAAG
Molecule: ribosomal RNA, 110 nt
Filed under: Zacco platypus (freshwater minnow)
Lineage: Eukaryota; Metazoa; Chordata; Actinopteri; Cypriniformes; Xenocyprididae
Description: partial 16S rRNA
Source: RNAcentral